ACGCACGCUGGCGGCAUGCCUAACCCCUGCCAGUCGAACGAUGCCUUCGGGCAUAGUGGCGCACGGGUGCGUCACGCGUGGGAAUCUGCCUUUCGGUUCGGAAUAACUCAGGGUAACUUGAGCUAAUACCGGAUAACGUCGCAAGACCAAAGAUUUAUCACCGAAAGAUGAGCCCGCGUAGGAUUAGCUAGUUGGUGAGGUAAAGGCUCACCAAGGCGAGGAUCCUUAGCUGGUCUGAGAGGAUGAUCAGCCACACUGGGACUGAGACACGGCCCAGACUCCUGCGGGAGGCAGGAGUGGGGAAUAUUGGACAAUGGGCGAAAGCCUGAUCCAGCAAUGCCGCGUGAGUGAUGAAGGCCUUAGGGUUGUAAAGCUCUUUUACCCGGGAAGAUAAUGACGGUACCGGGAGAAUAAGCCCCGGCUAACUCCGUG
This 432-nucleotide ribosomal RNA is filed under the name uncultured bacterium. Its description in RNAcentral is "partial 16S ribosomal RNA". It matches the Rfam family "Bacterial small subunit ribosomal RNA", at positions 29 to 507 of the family's 1533-position model. The record is from RNAcentral.